Molecule: long non-coding RNA, 1215 nt
Filed under: Canis lupus familiaris (dog)
Lineage: Eukaryota; Metazoa; Chordata; Mammalia; Carnivora; Canidae
Description: lncRNA (ENSCAFG00000048135.2)
Source: RNAcentral
AUGACCACCUGGCCCACUGAGAGCACAGCCUGGCUCGCCGCCCCCAGACCAGGAGCUGGCGGUGACAGGAGCCCUGCAGGCCUGACCUCGGGGCCACCGCGCAGGGAGGGCCUCUGGCUCCUGCCCCCCCCAGUGCUUGCCCCGAGGGUCGUGCCCCGUCUCACCUUGACGUUGGGACGCGGGACAAACGGGGAGCGCUGGGACGGCAAAGGGGCCGGUCUGGCUGCCGUGACGCCGGUGGUCUCCAGUUUUCAGGAAGAUCCAGACUUGCACACAGCAGUGAGCGUGUUCCGGGGGGUCGGGGUGGGGCAGCCGGGGGUUCAGCGCAGGCGGCCAGGGAGCAGAGUGCAGGAGAGGCCAGCCCGCGGGGCUCCGGGAGCCCCCUCCGGACCUCAGGGGCCGGGGGCCAGCACAGGUCUCCGAGCCUGGAUCUCAGCAGGCCCAACGACACCCACACUGAGGCACGGAAGCCACGGACUCGACGGGCCAGCCCACGGGGGCCCAGCAGACCUCCCACAGCUGUCACCCCCACCACGCUGCUGCAGGUGCCCUUCCCCCCGAAGCCAGCCUGGUGGAAAUGAAAACUUGAACUUCCAUCCUGUCUGCAGCUUCUCCCACCCCAGCCCAGGCCGGACCCCUACGUCCUCCCACCAGCCCGGGGAGCAGGAGAGAGUGGGCUUGCCCCGGCCGCACCCCUCCUCUGCGCUCUCCCCCGCCUGUCCCCGCUCUGCGAGCCUGGUUCUCAGGCUGUUGUUGAACCUGGCUCUGGCGCCUUCCUCCCAACGCCUGUCCCCGAGCCCGCCCCUGCGCCCCUGCAGGCGGCCACCCAGGCCUCAGCUCCGUCCCCGGCUCCAUCCGUCCCCUCUCCCUGCCUUCCCUUUGGCAGGAGCCGCCACACUGGCUCAGAGGCCGCCCUGCCAGCAGCUUCGGCUCAUCCCUGAGCGGGGAUUUGCAGGUGGUGCUGCAGGUGGCACGUGGGCGGGACUGAGCGCGGCCCACACAGGCCAAAUGCCACGGGCAGGGGCACCACCGAGGCCAGGGGAGACCAGGAGAGCCAGAUGGGACAGCUGCCCACACCGGUGCCCGGCGGCCCACCCUGCCCCCACCGCGCCUGGCCCCAGUCUUGGGACAUGGGAGGAAGAACCCCGGAAUUGCUGGUUUAAACCACUGGGUGGACCUGGGAAACAUUUUUUUUUAUUUCUGUCGUCGGGCUAG